GUAUAUUUUGGGCAAACCUGUCGAAAGGCAGGGACGCAAAGUAAAGCAUCUAACCGGGCUGUGGUCCGUAUGAUCGGCUGACUGCAGUA
This 89-nucleotide non-coding RNA is filed under the name Bacillota bacterium. Its description in RNAcentral is "Firmicutes bacterium c-di-GMP sequence". It matches the Rfam family "c-di-GMP-I riboswitch aptamer". Rfam says of the family: GEMM was predicted in a large-scale screen for bacterial structured RNA regulatory elements. The record is from RNAcentral. Lineage: Bacteria; Bacillati; Bacillota.